Mycena latifolia is the source of this 92-nucleotide non-coding RNA. NCBI's taxonomy places the organism in Eukaryota, Fungi, Basidiomycota, Agaricomycetes, Agaricales, Mycenaceae. The record is from the annotation of a GenBank genome assembly.
UCGGACGUGGUGCACGGUGCACGCCUGCCUUCUGUGGAUCAUCUUGGACCAAGUCAGAGCGGGAGCCCUGGGUUCGAUUCCCAGCGUCCGAA